UAAAUGACAAUCAUAUUUAGUAACUUCUGCUCAAUGUAAAUCACAUCAAUUGCCGCAGUAUAUUAACUGUGCUAAGGUAGCAUAAUCACUUGUCUACUAAUUAUAGACCAGAAUGAAUGAAAUAAUGAAACUUCAACUGUCUCACGAAAUAACCAAAAAACUUACCUAAAGGUGAAGAGGCCUUUAUAAAACCAUAAGACAAGAAGACCCUUGGAGCUUAAUCUACGUAACACUCAAUAACUACACUAAAAUUCGACUGGGGCGAUCCAUAUACAACAAACAAUAUUCAACCACAAGAUAAACAAAUCAACAUACCGUAUAAUGACCUAUAAUAAAUAACUAAAGAAAAAACGCUACCCUAGGGAUAACAGACUAACUUUCUCCCAGAGUCCAUAUUAAAGAGAAAAUCUAGCACCUCGAUGUUGGCUUAUAGUACUUUAUCGGAGCAACAACUGAAUAAAUGGGUUUGUUCAACCCUCAAAAUA
This 485-nucleotide ribosomal RNA is filed under the name Olavius crassitunicatus. Its description in RNAcentral is "partial 16S ribosomal RNA". It matches the Rfam family "Bacterial large subunit ribosomal RNA", at positions 1833 to 2595 of the family's 2925-position model. The record is from RNAcentral. Lineage: Eukaryota; Metazoa; Annelida; Clitellata; Tubificida; Naididae.